This 76-nucleotide ribosomal RNA is filed under the name Listeria monocytogenes. Lineage: Bacteria; Bacillati; Bacillota; Bacilli; Caryophanales; Listeriaceae. The record is from RNAcentral.
UCUGGUAGUUAUGGCGAGAAGGUCACACCCGUUCCCAUCCCGAACACGGUAGUUAAGCUUCUUUGUCCUCAUAUUG